CAGUAGCCGCGGUAAUACGUAGGUGGCAAGCGUUGUCCGGAAUUAUUGGGCGUAAAGGGCUCGCAGGCGGUUUCUUAAGUCUGAUGUGAAAGCCCCCGGCUCAACCGGGGAGGGUCAUUGGAAACUGGGAAACUUGAGUGCAGAAGAGGAGAGUGGAAUUCCACGUAUAGCGGUGAAAUGCGUAGAGAUGUGGAGGAACACCAGUGGCGAAGGCGACUCUCUGGUCUGUAACUGACGCUGAGGAGCGAAAGCGCGGGGAGCGAACAGGAUUAGAUACCCCAGUAGUCCCUGUCUCUUAUAC
Molecule: ribosomal RNA, 301 nt
Filed under: uncultured bacterium
Lineage: Bacteria
Description: partial 16S ribosomal RNA
Rfam family: Bacterial small subunit ribosomal RNA
Source: RNAcentral